GCAGUGGUGGUUCAGUGGUAGAAUCCUCACCUUCCACGGAGAGACAGGGGUUCGAUUCCCAGCCAAUGCA
This 70-nucleotide transfer RNA is filed under the name Loxodonta africana (African savanna elephant). It matches the Rfam family "tRNA". From Rfam's summary of the family: Transfer RNA (tRNA) molecules are approximately 80 nucleotides in length. Their secondary structure includes four short double-helical elements and three loops (D, anti-codon, and T loops). Lineage: Eukaryota; Metazoa; Chordata; Mammalia; Proboscidea; Elephantidae. The record is from Rfam by way of RNAcentral.